Molecule: long non-coding RNA, 885 nt
Organism: Nothoprocta perdicaria
Lineage: Eukaryota; Metazoa; Chordata; Aves; Tinamiformes; Tinamidae
Exons: 4
Source: RefSeq, a predicted model, not a curated record
CCUGGGCCAUCAGAUACCYCAUGGGAGCACAUUUCUGUCUGCUAGUGGGGAGAUGCUCCAGCAGCAAGAUCCCAGGAACCCAGAAGCUGGAAGGACAAGCCCAUGCCGCUAGAAGAGCGACCAGGAACACGCUGCUCAUAAAAAGAGUAGCCAAGGACACUGAGAAGUGGAGUUAUGGUCAGUGAUACCUCUAUCAGUGAGACCUCAGGAUAGCACCUGGCUCACCAUCUUACGUUGCCUGAACCUGGGUCUGUUCUGAAGGAAAACGCCUUCUCAAAGUCGAAAGGAUAAAGCAGGUAUUCAUUUGGUACAUGAGUGUGUUCUGAAUUGGAGUCUCAUCCAUGAUCCAUGGAAGCAGUUUACGUUAGGCCAAGUUUUGCAUCUUGAACCCCGUUCCCUCUGGCAUCGUGAGGAUGCAAACAGAAGAUCGUGCCUGUGACACCAGCAGCUGUGAAACGACGAAAGCAAAGUAAGAACAUAUCCCAAAAAGCUUUGUACCCAGUUGGGCAAUUGGCCAGAGAAGUUAACAACCAUUCAGCGUAGCUGUGUGCUUGAGCAAACAGAAUCAUGUUUUGGACUGUGUCCGGCAGCUGAGUGUCUUGUAAAACUUAUUUUUUAUCUUUUUUUGGUUUGUUCUGGUUGGAAGCUAACAAACCAAAAUUAAGAGCUGUGGUUGACUUGCCUGUUUGCAUGUAUCUUGCAGAGUUAAAACACAUGCAAGUGUUGUGCUCUGGGCAUCACUGAAGACAGUGUGCUUCUUGGCUGCUGAAAAUCUGCAUUUUCAUACCUUAAAAGAGCAUUAAACAGGAAGCUAAGCAUCCUUCCUUGCCAAAGCAAAGUUUUUCUGUUGCUGGUCUCUGCUAUUUCCCUCCCUGUCUCUUGAUU